CCGCCUCGGGGCUCACAGCCACAUGAAGGGAUCUGCCGGAGGAAACAGUGACCGCAUCAGAACCGGGUCCGGGCGAGCCUGGAACCAGCCCUUGAAGGUCUGAAAUGGAUUAUACAGAAACAUGUAAAGCCCAAGAGAAACUUGACCCUCCUCCUAGCUGUGUUGUCUUCACAUCUGAUAAAUCUUUCACUCAAGAUGAGGAAAAAAACAACUCUGAAAUACAUAAUAAAAAGGAAAAUACAAUAGAAGAGACAAAGCACUCUUGUCUGUUUUUCCAAGGUUUUUUAAAUAAAAUUCUCAGUAAUAAUUACUCUUCUCAA
Molecule: long non-coding RNA, 320 nt
Organism: Odocoileus virginianus texanus
Lineage: Eukaryota; Metazoa; Chordata; Mammalia; Artiodactyla; Cervidae
Source: RefSeq, a predicted model, not a curated record